This 492-nucleotide ribosomal RNA is filed under the name uncultured bacterium. RNAcentral describes it as "partial 16S ribosomal RNA". It matches the Rfam family "Bacterial small subunit ribosomal RNA", at positions 29 to 507 of the family's 1533-position model. The record is from RNAcentral.
AGUGAACGCUGGCGGUAGGCCUAACACAUGCAAGUCGAACGGCAGCACAGUAAGAGCUUGCUCUUACGGGUGGCGAGUAGCGGACGGGUGAGGAAUACAUCGGAAUCUACUUUUUCGUGGGGGAUAACGUAGGGAAACUUACGCUAAUACCGCAUACGACCUACGGGUGAAAGCAGGGGAUCUUCGGACCUUGCGCGAUUGAAUGAGCCGAUGUCGGAUUAGCUAGUUGGCGGGGUAAAGGCCCACCAAGGCGACGAUCCGUAGCUGGUCUGAGAGGAUGAUCAGCCGCACUGGAACUGAGACACGGUCCAGACUCCUACGGGAGGCAGCAGUGGGGAAUAUUGGACAAUGGGCGCAAGCCUGAUCCAGCCAUACCGCGUGGGUGAAGAAGGCCUUCGGGUUGUAAAGCCCUUUUGUUGGGAAAGAAAAGCAGCAGGUUAAUACCCCGCUGUUCUGACGGUACCCAAAGAAUAAGCACCGGCUAACUUCGUG